This 245-nucleotide ribosomal RNA is filed under the name Boletina sp. 014967. RNAcentral describes it as "partial 28S ribosomal RNA". It matches the Rfam family "Eukaryotic large subunit ribosomal RNA", at positions 135 to 366 of the family's 3401-position model. The record is from RNAcentral. Lineage: Eukaryota; Metazoa; Arthropoda; Insecta; Diptera; Mycetophilidae.
AGCAGGGGAUGCAGUGUAUGGAAUGUCUAUUAUCUUAUAUGACGGUAAUACGUUCAAGUCCAUCUUGAAUGGGGCUAUUUUACCCAUAGAGGGUGCCAGGCCCGUAGCAACUGUUACCAGUAUAAGAAGAUAUUUCCAAAGAGUCGUGUUGCUUGAUAGUGCAGCACUAAGUUGGUGGUAAACUCCAUCUAAGGCUAAAUAUAACCACGAGACCGAUAGCGAACAAGUACCGUGAGGGAAAGUUA